Molecule: ribosomal RNA, 382 nt
Filed under: uncultured eukaryote
Lineage: Eukaryota
Description: partial 18S ribosomal RNA
Rfam family: Eukaryotic small subunit ribosomal RNA
Source: RNAcentral
CAAUAGCGUAUAUUAAAGUUGUUGCAGUUAAAAAGCUCGUAGUUGGAUUUCUGGUUGAAGCGACCGGUCGGGCGUUGAUUCGUCUGCACUGGAGUCGGUUUUGGCCAUCCUCUAGGAAAGUACGUCUGGUAUUAAGUUAUCGGGCGUAUGAUCCUGGUCUUUUACUGUGAAAAAAUUAGAGUGUUUAAAGCAGGCCUUCGCCUUGAAUACAUUAGCAUGGAAUAAUAAGAUAGGACUUUGGUCUAUUUUGUUGGUUUGCAGACCGAAGUAAUGAUUAAUAGGGAUAGUUGGGGGUAUUUAUAUUCCGAUGUCAGAGGUGAAAUUCUUAGAUUUUCGGAAGAUAAACUUAUGCGAAAGCAUUUACCAAGGAUGUUUUCAUUAA